GAAAAAGGAACAACAGAAAAGCUACCCUAGCAAGCUGCAUGCGCCAUGCCCGCCGGCAUUCCAUGACGCAAGUACCUGGCUGGCCGGCCUCAACAUCCUCCCAGUGCCGAUCAGAAUUACACCGCUAAAGAGUAGUGGCGCCAGUAGCCUUCCGGCUGGCCGGCCGGCCUGCCGUCUGGUCAAUCAUGGCAGCUUUGACCUGAGGAGGCAGGUACUUAUAUGACCCAUUAUCUCAAACUAUACAAGCCUAAAUGGAAGUUCUCCUUGGAUGCACGUCGUUUGUUUCGUUUUUUAAGUUCUUUUCUGCCGUCUUCCGUUAAUAGUAGGACACAUGGAAGCUGAUGUGCGUUUAGACGCCAAUACAAAUUCCCCUUUCAGCCAUAAAGCAACAGAGAUAACGACGCAUGUUAUCGCUAUGCUAAUUGGGGAAGCAGAGUACAUCGGAUGAGCCAGCAUACCCCCAGAUAUAUGUCUUUCCACGUCCCAACAAAAUUGAUGCCAGCUUCCUCCUACAGCUAAAUUGUUUUUAAACUUUGCUUAUCGGACAAUGAGUGUAAGAUGCGAC
This 565-nucleotide long non-coding RNA is filed under the name Hordeum vulgare. Its description in RNAcentral is "long non-coding RNA (HVUL_LNC000095)". The record is from RNAcentral. Lineage: Eukaryota; Viridiplantae; Streptophyta; Magnoliopsida; Poales; Poaceae.